Molecule: long non-coding RNA, 338 nt
Filed under: Elaeis guineensis (African oil palm)
Lineage: Eukaryota; Viridiplantae; Streptophyta; Magnoliopsida; Arecales; Arecaceae
Description: long non-coding RNA (EGUI_LNC057094)
Source: RNAcentral
UGAUCUUGGAGUUAGGUUUUGGUUUUUAUGAUUUCAUAAUAAUUGCUUUGAAAUCCGUGCUUCCGCCAUUGUCACAAAACCUUUCAGUGGUAUCAGAGCAACCUUGUUAGAAUUAAAUCAUAUGAUGAUAUGUUAAUGAUUUAAUGGCAAUGUUAUAAAUAUGAUAUGAUCAUUAUUUAUGUUUUAAUAUGAUAUUAAUAUGAUGAGAUCAUAUUCAUUAUUUCAUAAUUAAAUUAUGAUGUAUAUAAUUAUGGAAUGUUGCUCUAUCAUAUUGAAUUGUGUUUACUAUGAUGCUAAUUUCUUUUAUUCAUGUAUUUAGUAUGAUAUAGAAAUUAAAU